Scaptodrosophila lebanonensis is the source of this 414-nucleotide long non-coding RNA. RefSeq lists it as uncharacterized. The record is from RefSeq and is a predicted model, not a curated record. NCBI's taxonomy places the organism in Eukaryota, Metazoa, Arthropoda, Insecta, Diptera, Drosophilidae. The transcript has 2 exons.
CAAAUUUCAGCUUCUGCUGCCGUCUGUACGAUUGCCACCAAGUGCAAUAAAGCUUGCACUUAUAUUCUACUUCCAGUUUGUGGACAUAAUGGCAUAUGUUACAAGGAUUUUGGCAAUAAGUGCAGAUUCCAAAGUAAUAACUGCAUCCAAAGGGAAGCCAAACAGCCAGAAUUCGCAAUGGUCUACAAGGGAUUUUGUAAAACUAAAGACACCCCAGCCUGUCCCCAGGAUAUUUAUGGUUAAUGGCCGUUCCUUAAAAUAAUCUCCAUAGCAAUAGUUGUAGAUAUUUACUUCGCGGCUUACUCGACUUCUUAUUUUAUUGCAGCUGCCGUAGCUGUUGCUGCUUUGACUUAUUUCUGUACUCCAUUAAUACGCAUAGACACGAUUCUGAUAAAUGAUGCUGUUGAAACUGUA